GAUUUCUACACAGAAACAGAAACUCUGACCUCUGUUGAACAUUUUAACUCUUCAUCGAACUCAACAAACGGACGUUUCGUGUGUUGAGGUUCGGUUUCUUUGCUUGAAGUGAAGCCGGUCGUGUCGUGGUCAGCUCGCUUUGUGAAGAUGGUGCGUACUAAACAGAAGAAGAAUCUGGAUAUUGAAGAUGUCCUUCUUGUCCAGAGUACACGGAGCAACAACAGACCACAUGAUGUAAAGGAAGAGGAGCAACGUCUGGUUGAUGAUGAUCUUCUGCUGGCUUCUUUAUUUUCUUCUGGCAGCUCUCGGAUUCGGUCGGUCAGGAUCUUCCUCCACCUGAACUUCUCGCAGCGUGGAAAGAAAAGAAAAGAUCCUGGAGGAAGUAAAAUAAACAAAAGGGGGAGCGGAGGGAGAGUUGGGGGGAGGAUUCAGAGCCCAGCGGAAAGAAAGCAGAGCAGGGGUUAACCCGGCCCCCAGCUGAAGAUGUCCGUGCUGCUUUCUGUCAUCAUCUCCCCUCCUUGGUUCCUCCUCAUGCUGGAAUACGUCUGUCAGUCAGGCUCAAUUGUUUCCAGCUCUGCUGAUGUUCCUUUGUGGUGGUCUCACUUCAAUUCAUGACCCACUUUCCACCGAGCACAUUCCCAACGUUCCUAAGAACCACGAUUGAUAUCCGUCACCACUGAAAGGGAUUCUAUUCACCAACAUCUGUCCUCACUGUCCUCGCUCCUCUGCACAUGCAGGUUCUUCCGCAGGAAUCAGGUGUCACCGCUCGGCCUCCUGGGUAAAUGUAAACCAGGCCUCAGGGAGGAACCGGGGCUGUGAGAAACAAAGUGGACCGCCAGAAAGGAACCCGGUUCCUGGAAAGAAGCCGGGCCACUGUGAGGGAGCCUAGAAGGAAGGAAUUGAAGCGGGCUGCAGAACAGAAACGAGGCCAGUGAGAAGGAACCUCACUGAAGCAAAAGAACCGGCAGGAACCAGAGCAGUAGGUAGUUAUCAUAGAACCAUAGUCCAUAAUAGAACCGGUGUGUUGGAAGGAACAAGAACAUCUCUGAAGGAGACACUCUGAGAACGUGUCACAGCUCGGAGUCACUUCUUCUUCUGAACUUCAUGCUCAUAUCCAAGUUCUUCAUUUUAACGAUAAUGUCCUCGUUGCUUCGGUUUCUGAGCUCUGACAGGUGAGACUCUGUGACCUUUGACCCCACUGAUAGGAGCCGUCACAAGCAGAUCAACAGGACCUUCGUGGUUUACUGCACCGCAGGAGGUCAGGAACAUGAAAUGUUACCCUGAGUUCUGUCUCCACCCUUUAUGACCCACUUAGUCUGAUAACGAGCUGGUUUACGGGCUGCACCUGAGUGCCGACUCCCCAGGUGAACCCUGCAAGACGGACAGGCGCUAGAGGAGGGGGCGGGGCCAUGGACAUAGGUGGUGUCAUGUGAUUCCUCCACUAAACACACCCAUCACAUUCCAUUAAGAGCAGCAGAUCUGUGAUGAAGAUCUCACAUCUGAACGUGUCCAGGAGGUGAUGUUGCCAACUGAUCCGCCACAGCGCAGAUGUUGUUGUUGAUGUUGUUGUUGUUGUUGAUGCUGUCACAGCUCUGCUCCACGUGACUGCUGCCUUCCAUCCCCGUUGUUCUGGUACUCCAGGUAGUCCACUCUGUAGACCGGUCCUGCGUGAUGUGUUGGCGGUGGAGGGUUCGGCGUGCUGCUCGGAGGCACUACGGCAGCAUGUUUCUGUCUUCAUCAGGUCCGUUGAUGACAUCGGGAGAGUUACAAACAGGGAUCCACCGGAGUUCUGGCUUGCUUUGGUUUUCAGGUGACUCACCUGAGGCUCCACUGUGGAAUGUGACUCUCUGUUUAAUACAAAAGCUCAUAAAGGGGAAACCAGUGGUUAGUGUGAGUGACGGGUCUGGGUGGUCUGAGGGAGGCCUGGGGGGGCUUCACCUCCUGAUUUAUGAGGUCUGAUGAAGUUAAAUCCCACUGAGCCCUUUUUGUUGUCUCACUCUGUUGUUCUUAUGAGGAUGGAAACUGUUAUCAGAGUUUGCUCAGGUGUUCCCCUCCAGAGCCGUGUUCUCUUUCCACAUGUGAUCACGUGAUUGUUCCUGUCGCCGCUGAUGUCACCUCAGCCAGCGGGCUGCGUGGGCACCAGGUUUUGGAAGAUAAGAAGAAUGUGCUGAAUAAAAAAGAAUGUCAUGGAGCCUGAGG
Gasterosteus aculeatus aculeatus (three-spined stickleback) is the source of this 2199-nucleotide long non-coding RNA. Lineage: Eukaryota; Metazoa; Chordata; Actinopteri; Perciformes; Gasterosteidae. The record is from Ensembl.